Molecule: ribosomal RNA, 1598 nt
Filed under: Helicolenus avius
Lineage: Eukaryota; Metazoa; Chordata; Actinopteri; Perciformes; Sebastidae
Description: 16S ribosomal RNA
Rfam family: Bacterial large subunit ribosomal RNA (bases 99-1536)
Source: RNAcentral
CGCCCAACAGCUAGCCCACAAACACAACAACAACCAACCACUAUUUAUAACCCCAAAUACACGAGUGUUUUAAUUAAACAAACCAUUUUUCCCCUUUAGUAUGGGCGACAGAAAAAGGACCCAGGAGCAAUAGAGAAAGUACCGCAAGGGAUUGCUGAAAGAGAAAUGAAAGAACCCAGUAAAGCCAAGUAAAGCAGAGAUUUACCCUCGUACCUUUUGCAUCAUGAUUUAGCUAGCGUGACCCAAGCAAAGAGUGCUUUAGUUUGACACCCCGAAACUAGGGGAGCUACUCCAAGACAGCCUAUUUAUAGGGCGAACCCGUCUCUGUGGCAAAAGAGUGGAAUGAGCUUUGAGUAGAGGUGAUAAACCUACCGAACCUAGUUAUAGCUGGUUGCCCGGGAAUUGGAUAGAAGUUCAGCCCCCCAGAUUCUUUAUUCAAAUCAGUAUUACCCCACCUGAUAACACGAGAAGCUGUGAGAGUUAUUCAAAGGGGGUACAGCCCCUUUGAAACAAGAUACAACUUUCCCGGGAGGAAAAGAUCAUAAUUAAAUAAAGGUAAGUAUUUGGGUGGGCCUAAAAGCAGCCAUCCCAAUAGAAAGCGUUAUAGCUCAAAUACAUCACUACCCCUCUCUAUCCUGAUCAUUAAUUCUUACUCCCCCCUUUCCUACCGGGCCAUCCCAUGCAAACAUGGGAGAGACCCUGCUAAUAUGAGUAAUAAGAGAGCCAAGCCUCUCUCCCUGCACACAUGUAAUUCGGAACGAACCCGCACCGAGCAUUAACGACCCCAAACGAAGAGGGCCCUGAACAACAACCCAAACAACCAGAAAAAAAUUCAAACACAAACCGUUAACCCUACACAGGUGUGCACUUUAGGAAAGACUAAAAGAAAGAGAAGGAACUCGGCAAACAAAUCAAGCCUCGCCUGUUUACCAAAAACAUCGCCUCUUGCAAAGCUAAAGAAUAAGAGGUCCCGCCUGCCCUGUGACUAUUAGUUUAACGGCCGCGGUAUUUUGACCGUGCAAAGGUAGCGCAAUCACUUGUCUUUUAAAUGAAGACCUGUAUGAAUGGCACAACGAGGGCUUAACUGUCUCCUCUUUCAAGUCAAUGAAAUUGAUCUCCCCGUGCAGAAGCGGGGAUAUAAACAUAAGACGAGAAGACCCUAUGGAGCUUUAGACACCAAAGAAGAUCCUGUCAAAUAACCCCCAAUAAGGGCCUGAACUAAUGGAAUCCAAUUAAGAGCCGCAGCUCUAAUUAACAGAAUAUCUGACCAAUAAGAUCCGGCAAUGCCGAUCAACGGACCGAGUUACCCUAGGGAUAACAGCGCAAUCCCCUUUUAGAGCCCAUAUCGACAAGGGGGUUUACGACCUCGAUGUUGGAUCAGGACAUCCUAAUGGUGCAGCCGCUAUUAAGGGUCCGUUUGUUCAACGGUUAAAGUCCUACGUGAUCUGAGUUCAGACCGGAGUAAUCCAGGUCAGUUUCUAUCUAUGGUGUGCUCUUUUCUAGUACGAAAGGACCGAAAAGAAGAGGCCCAUGCUCUAAGCAAGCCUCACCCCCACCUAAUGAAGACAACUAAAGUAGGCAAGAGGGCAUACCCCCCG